RNAcentral lists this ribosomal RNA (253 nucleotides) under uncultured bacterium. RNAcentral's name for it is "partial 16S ribosomal RNA". It matches the Rfam family "Bacterial small subunit ribosomal RNA", at positions 524 to 776 of the family's 1533-position model. The record is from RNAcentral.
UACGGAGGGUGCAAACGUUGCUCGGAAUCAUUGGGCGUAAAGCGCACGUAGGUGGCCUGUUAAGUCGGGUGUGAAAUCCCUGGGCUCAACCCAGGAAGUGCACUCGAAACUGGCAGGCUUGAGUACUGAAGAGGGUCGCGGAAUUCCCGGUGUAGAGGUGAAAUUCGUAGAUAUCUGGAGGAAUACCGGUGGCGAAGGCGGCAUCCUGGACCGACAUUGACGCUGAGGAGCGAAAGCCAGGGGAGCAAACGGG